CCCUGACAGUCGCAUGCGCGGCUGACAUUUGCCAAGACAGGAGAACAACAUG
Molecule: non-coding RNA, 52 nt
Filed under: unclassified sequences
Description: Mu-gpT-DE RNA
Rfam family: Mu-gpT-DE RNA
Source: Rfam by way of RNAcentral